GAUCCUGGCUCAGGAUGAACGCUAGCUACAGGCUUAGCACAUGCAAGUCGAGGGGCAGCAUGAUUGAAGCUUGCUUCAAUUGAUGGCGACCGGCGCACGGGUGAGUAACACGUGUCCAACCUGCCGAUAACUCGGGGAUAGCCUUUCGAAAGAAAGAUUAAUACCCGAUAGUAUAGUAUUUCCGCAUGGUUUCACUAUUAAAGAAUUUCGGUUAUCGAUGGGGAUGCGUUCCAUUAGA
RNAcentral lists this ribosomal RNA (238 nucleotides) under uncultured bacterium. Its description in RNAcentral is "partial 16S ribosomal RNA". It matches the Rfam family "Bacterial small subunit ribosomal RNA", at positions 15 to 245 of the family's 1533-position model. The record is from RNAcentral.